RNAcentral lists this ribosomal RNA (396 nucleotides) under Triticum aestivum (bread wheat). RNAcentral's name for it is "partial small subunit ribosomal RNA". The record is from RNAcentral. Lineage: Eukaryota; Viridiplantae; Streptophyta; Magnoliopsida; Poales; Poaceae.
AUGCAUUGUUGCACGUGUGCACAGCUUCUAGAGAAGCAAAUAAGCAAGAUAGAAGGCGUCGAGUCCGUGGAGGCGGAUCUCCCAAAUGACCAGGUGAUCGUAAAAGGCGAUAUGGAUCCAGCUAUGCUUGUUGAAAAUAUCCAGAAGAAGAUAAGGAGGGAGGCCGUCAUGGUCAAGGAGGAGAAAACAUCAGAGGGGGAGAAGUCAGAUGAGGUUGAGAACAAAGCCAAUGAUGAUGGUGGUGUCAGCAAACUCAAGAAGUAUGACUCCUGGCCUCCCGCUCGGUACUAUGUUGACGAUGUGAACCCCUACUCUUUAGUGUACCCCUACUCUCCGGUGGAGGUGUAUCGCUACCCUCCCACGCAGUUGUCGGUGACAGAUGAAUUCAGUGGAUGA